Molecule: ribosomal RNA, 329 nt
Filed under: uncultured eukaryote
Lineage: Eukaryota
Description: partial 18S ribosomal RNA
Rfam family: Eukaryotic small subunit ribosomal RNA
Source: RNAcentral
CCCUUAGAUGUUCUGGGCCACACGCGCGCUACACUGAUGCAUUCAACGAGUCUAAAACCUGCUCUGAUAGGGGUGGGUAAUCUUUUGAAUGUGCAUCGUGAUUGGGAUAGAUGAUUGCAAUUUUUCAUCUUCAACGAGGAAUGCCUAGUAAACGCAAGUCAUCAGCUUGCAUUGAUUACGUCCCUGCCCUUUGUACACACCGCCCGUCGCUCCUACCGAUUGAAUGAUCCGAUGAAUAUCAUGGAUUGAGGAUUAUAGCAGGUUCGCCUGUCUUGAUCUUCGAGAAGUGAAGUAAAUCUUAUCAUUUAGAGGAAGGAGAAGUCGUAACA